Molecule: transfer RNA, 67 nt
Filed under: Somatochlora hineana
Lineage: Eukaryota; Metazoa; Arthropoda; Insecta; Odonata; Corduliidae
Description: tRNA-Asp
Source: RNAcentral
AAGGAGUUAGUUAAAUAUAUAAUAUUAGAUUGUCAAACUAAAGUAACUAAAAUAUUAGUACCCCUUG